RNAcentral lists this ribosomal RNA (977 nucleotides) under uncultured bacterium. RNAcentral's name for it is "bacterial SSU rRNA". It matches the Rfam family "Bacterial small subunit ribosomal RNA", at positions 8 to 1035 of the family's 1533-position model. The record is from RNAcentral.
AGAGUUUGAUCCUGGCUCAGAACGAACGCUGGCGGCAGGCUUAACACAUGCAAGUCGAGCGCCCAGCAAUGGGAGCGGCGGACGGGUGAAUAACGCGUGGGAAUAUGCCCUUUGGUACGGAACAACUCAGGGAAACUUGAGCUAAUACCGUAUGAGCCGGUAACGGGAAAGAUUUAUCGCCAAAGGAUUAGCCCGCGUCCGAUUAGCUAGUUGGUGAGGUAAUGGCUCACCAAGGCACCGAUCGGUAGCUGGUCUGAGAGGACGACCAGCCACACUGGGACUGAGACACGGCCCAGACUCCUACGGGAGGCAGCAGUGGGGAAUCUUGGACAAUGGAGGAAACUCUGAUCCAGCCAUGCCGCGUGAGUGAUGAAGGCCUUCGGGUUGUAAAACUCUUUCGGCGGGGACGAUAAUGACGGUACCCGCAGAAGAAGCUCCGGCUAACUUCGUGCCAGCAGCCGCGGUAAUACGAAGGGGGCUAGCGUUGUUCGGAAUUACUGGGCGUAAAGCGCGCGCAGGCGGCCUUUCAAGUCAGGGGUGAAAGCCCGGAGCUCAACUCCGGAAUUGCCUUUGAAACUGCAAGGCUCGAGUACGGGAGAGGUGAGUGGAAUUCCCAGUGUAGAGGUGAAAUUCGUAGAUAUUGGGAAGAACACCGGUGGCGAAGGCGGCUCACUGGCCCGUAACUGACGCUCAGGCGCGACAGCGUGGGGAUCAAACAGGAUUAGAUACCCUGGUAGUCCACGCCGUAAACGAUGAACGCUAGCCGUUGGCAAGCUUGCUUGUCAGUGGCGCAGCUAACGCAUUAAGCGUUCCGCCUGGGGAGUACGGCCGCAAGGUUGAAACUCAAGGAAUUGACGGGGGCCCGCACAAGCGGUGGAGCAUGUGGUUUAAUUCGACGCAACGCGCAGAACCUUACCAGGGUUUGACAUCCUGUGCUCGCCGGAGAGAUCCGGUUUCCCCGCAAGGGGCGCAGAGAC